Non-coding RNA from Aegilops tauschii subsp. strangulata, 4486 nucleotides. The record is from RefSeq and is a predicted model, not a curated record. Lineage: Eukaryota; Viridiplantae; Streptophyta; Magnoliopsida; Poales; Poaceae.
UUUAAUUCGCUGAACUUUUAAAAAAAUUAAUAAUUGUUUUCAAAACAAAUGAACUUUUUCUGUAAGUCAUGAACUUUUUCCAAAAUGUUUUCAAAUAAUUUAAAAAUCCAAGCGCUACAGUGAACGUUUACAUGUGUAAUAAAUUGCGUGUCCACGAAUCUACUAUAUCUAAAUAGGAGCACCCCACUAGCUGAUUUCUCUGCGUUCUCAGGCUUCCACGUCAUCCCAAAUUCGUUCAGCCCUUGGAUUGACCACACAUGCCUCAGAUUUGCUGGCAAGAGUUGAUCCCCCCUGCCGCACGCCCUUCCGGUUGGCUCAUCCUUCCUCCGCGCGAGAACUAAAAGCUUCGAGUCUUUCCUCUUCCACUUCCCCAAUUAAUGCGUUGUCCUCUUCUCCUUCCAUCCCCGGCAACGUUUUCAAUUCUUCGAUCUUCCCACCACAAAUACACAUGAAACGGCAUGCAAUCAAUCAUCGAUCUUCAUCACCCGUAGAGGGAUUUUCUUGGUCAUCCCCUUCCGGUGACGGGACGAAUUUGAGCUCUCUCCGCCACCACUGCUCCACCGCGGACACCUGCUCGGGGAAUCAGAAACCUUUAUCUACCUGAGUUGAAUCCCCCACCGUGACCCAUCUCCUUCCGGUACCAUGUGGGGGCUGGACGGGACAGAUCUGCAGGCAUCGCCGCCGCCACCGCGCAGCCUCUGCGGCUGCAUAUUCUUCUUCCCCAUCUCCAGCGACGCGCUCGAACACCUCAUCGAGCACACCACGGGUGGCACUUGCCGUGGAGGUCAACAUGUGUUCGUCAAAUAUGGCGAUCCAAGCCGCCUUCUGCUCGCUCGGCCGCUCAUGCCAUGUUCAAUCUUCUCCGUGCCAUCACCGGCUGCCUGGCGUUGCCGUCUUCUAUAUCCUGAAGAUGCGCCUCCACAAUUUCUUCUCACCGUAGUUCACAUGAGGGUCGGUUUGGUUGAGCUUCGUGAUGGAGAAAGUCUUGAAGCAAUCGAUUGGACUCGGUGCAGGUUCGAUUUCUUCCUGGUCUGUAGCCCAAUUGCUCCGAACCACACGCAAUUUGUGAGGUAAGUUAUACUUUCUAGCUCAAAUAGAAUGCCAAUUUAUAAACUGAUCGAUGAUAUUAUUACACUGACUCAAUGCUUCCGAAGCGAACUAGCGACAUACUGAUUGCCGGCUGGGAAUUUUGCUGAUGCACGCCAUGGAUGCAUCCAUGCGAAACCUGCACGUGCAUGGCCUCAAGCAAAAUCUGGCGGUGCUGCGUGGGCCUUGCUGAAGAGUACAUGGAGAACGUCAGAUAUCUAGAAUUGUGAAGGAAUUAAUUUAUGUUUUCCUAUCUAGAGGAUUUGAAUGCUAUGUAGUUUUUAAUACUUGAUGAAAUUCUGAUUAUACGCAUUGUACUACAUAUCGAAUUAUUCUGCAUUUCAGUGGUAUCUAUACUACUAUUAAACAAUCAAACUAAUUCUUUCUUAACGCCACACGACAGCUGUACACAGUUUGAUUAGCACCGCACGAUUAGGCCCACUAAACUUAAUCUAAUGACUAGCUUUAACUUAAUCUGUUAUCUGAUGUGCACUUAGUAAUUUAGAUUGGCUGAACGUGCUUCACCGCGCGAAGCACCGCCCCGCACGUUGGCAGUCCCUACAAUCACGCAAGGGCAGGAAAAAAAAAGGAAAGCCAUCGCAAUCUGAUCCCCUCACUCGCUAACUGCCCUGCCAGGCCGCGACUCACGCCGUCCGGACGAGGGUCGGACUCCUACGCCACAUGCGCCGCCGCCUGACCCUCCUCCGCCACCACAGCCGCCGCAGAACCGACCAGUGCGCGGCGCCUCUCCCACCGUGACCCGCGAUGCCGGCAGCACCUCCCACCCCCUCCUAUCAUCUCCCUAUCCCUACCCAGCGGACGACCAGAGGAGGAGGAGCUGACGUCUCCCUCCUUCACCUACCCCUACGGUGAGCGGAGACGAUGCCCUCUCGCCAUGCACGCCCUUGAUCCGGACGGCACCGCCGAGCCCGUGGUCCUCCUCCACAGGUCACCGGAUGCAGCCAAGAUCCGUCCAGUCCUCCCACAUCGGCAACCAUGGUAGUCCUCUGCACCCAAGCUUUGCCCAUAAGCUCCAUGUGCAUUGGCAGAUUUCAGCCGGCGAUUUGGAUCGAGCAAGUCACAGGAGCUUGCCUGCAACACCCAGUCUUUGAUCUGGUUUGUUCUUCAUAUCAGACGUUCUGGUGUAUCAAAUCCAUCUGCACUGCAUACAUUGGGAUUGAAACGAUGCCAUGAUAGUUGGCAUUCACGCUUCAGAUUUCUUAACUCAGCAUCAUUGGAUCGAAGAUGGUUAGGAGGUUGAAGGUAUGUCGCGUGAAAGGCGCGGGGAGGCAAGGACGGGACACGCAGGACACUGCAGUGGAGGACGAACACCGCAGCAAGGUAUGUGCAGAGAACAACCACUGUCGCGAAGUCACGACUCCUCUCUUGCAUGUCCGCUUCUCCUUGGUUGCCUGGUCAUCAUCAUAUCACAAAUCAAAGUUUUCUUAUUGCGAACUAGAGAAGAUAAAUUUGAUGGCUGUAAAUUGCCUGAAGUGCAAGGUCUAAUUCUAUUAUGUGUUGAGUUUAUUAGCAAGAUUGGUCCGUUUUGAUACAGUUUCAUUCUGGUUGCCAUCUACGAGUUACUGUUGCAUCACAGUAAUUUAUUUGGAAGCAGUUAUAAUUCAGAUUGAGACUUUCUGGGUAGGUUGUCACAAGUAUUUAACUUAUGAUUUCAGUUUGAGAUACAACCGGCAAUCUGAAAUCAGUACUGCUGCUCAGACAAUCUAGAGGGGAUAUAAAAUUUCUUUGCAAAGCUUGUACACAAGCUUAAGAAUAUGCCUGCUACUUCUUUUUUUAGGGAAAUAAAAUGCCUGCUACUUUGGGAUAUUGUGGUGUUAUUAAAUGACCGCUUCAUAAAUCAUAAUAUGAGAUGGUGUUUGGUCAACCAAACAUGAAGAAUAUUGGAACAAAAAGACGAAGAAUAUUGGUCAACCAAAGGCAAAUUCACUUCAGCCCAAAUUCACUUGAUGUUGCAGUUUUUUCUUAGUUCUUUAAGAUUGGUUUUAGAUGGAGAGCCGGUCCCAGUUUGGAUGCCAAUGUUGGUUUUUAGAUCAGUUAAUGGUUCAUUGCAACACAUGUUCUCCGUAUAAUUUGAUAUGCAAGGUUUUGAUGCAUAGUAAUAGUGAAUUUGGGCUGAAGGGAAGCAAGAGCAGCUAGCAGUAGCAGUUAUAACUGAAGUGAUAAUGGGCACUUCUCUCUUUUCUGAACAACACUUGAUUUUCUCAUAGUAAUAGUCCUUUACUGAAUUUAGUUGAUACAUAAAUGGUUAUUUACUGAACAAUACUUGUAUGUGGGUAGGUACGAUGGUGAUGAAGUUUUAAAAUGGUCCAUUGCCCAACAAGGGCAUCCUAAUUUCUUACUGGAUUAUACUGUAACAAUAUGAUACCGAAAUUUCAAAUGGUUGUAUAUUUGACCCAUACUAUGAUGGGCCAAGGCCUGCGUGGACAUGUUGUUCACAUACUAUAAUUCAUUUACAGGAGAUUGUAAACGUUUAGGCACCAUGUGUUGAGAAAUUGUGCAUUGAGAUAAAAGAUUAUAUAAUUGAUGCAAAGGCAUGUGAUAUAUAUUUGUUUCAGGAAGUGUGUUGAUUCAUGGAGAAUGAUAUUAUAAAUUAUUAGUAUAUUCAUGAAUUAGGUGUUGUGCACUGCAUGAAAUUUCAAUUUUUUUUUGAGAAAUCUAUCCUACAUCUGGUCAUGUUUCAAAUCAUGUGUUUUUGUCCAAACGGUUCAAAUCAUGUGUUUUUGUCCAAACGUGCGUUGCACGUGCAAGCUUACUAGUUAAGCAAAAGGAUACAAUGCCUAGAGUUUGCAUAUUUUCCUGUACAUAGUUUCCCAAUUUCCUCAGAAUCAUGUCUUAAGUAUAUGUUUCCUUAGUUGAUCUGGUGGUCAAAUUUUAACAUGAUCAGAAAAUUGAAGUUAACUAAAUGGAGUACUUGAGUUGUACAGGUUUCUAUCUACAUGGUUCUUUCAUUGUUUGGUGAACCAUCUCCAGGCCGAGAAGCUGGCGUGGUGAUCUUCGCACAGAGCAGCUGUUUUCAUUGAUCCAAGCUUCUACCACAGAUAAUAAAUGUUUAGCAUGCCUUAUCCCCGAAGAGCCGCUGUUAUCAUUAAUAUGUGGUAGAAGCUUGGAUCAAUAAUGUUGAUCUAUGCUAGAAGCUUGGAUCAAUGACAACAGUGGUGAUCUUCGAACAGAGUCGCUGUUGUCACCCGUUUUGAGUUGCUAGGAUCUAAAUGGGUCGUUUAGGUCGUAGCAACAUUACUGGAACCUCUCCAUUUCUGUUCAAAAUUAAAUAUUAAGAUUUAUUAUAACUGAGGUCAUGAGGAUUGCACAUACUUUACUUGCAGAAUAUUAUGUUCUAUUUUGAUUUCAUAGGUUUCAUACAUUUUUCCCUCAACACAAA